CGUCCAAGGAUUGAAGGGAGAUCAGGAA
Molecule: non-coding RNA, 28 nt
Filed under: Cricetulus griseus (Chinese hamster)
Lineage: Eukaryota; Metazoa; Chordata; Mammalia; Rodentia; Cricetidae
Source: RNAcentral